This 1447-nucleotide long non-coding RNA is filed under the name Canis lupus dingo (dingo). Its description in RNAcentral is "lncRNA (ENSCAFG00020024681.1)". Lineage: Eukaryota; Metazoa; Chordata; Mammalia; Carnivora; Canidae. The record is from RNAcentral.
CGUGAUAGUUGGGCUGUACCAGAAAGAAUGUCCUCUUCCUUCCAGAUUUCUUCUCAAGCCGUGAGAACCCAGGCCUGGGGCUUCAGGUGGCCACGUGCCAGCAGGUGCAGACACCUGUCCAAGGACUACGUCCACCCAAACUGGGAAAGACGGAAGGGAAGAAGCCAGGACAGGAGGGGAGAUAUGGAAAGAACUGCCCACUGCCCUGGCCCCUGGCUCCAGCCACCGUGCCUGAUGCCACCAGUUUCUGCCCCUGCCGGGGAGGCGACAGGUUCCCUCCCCAGGAGGCUGCACCGAACCCCCUCCCCAAGCUCACACUUGCAAGUCUUCCUCCUGGCACCUCGGGAAGGGACUUUACUUGGAAAUCCAGGCCUUUGCAGAUGGCAGCGGCUCAGACGAGGCUACCCGGGGGCGGGGCGAGCCCGAAUCCACAGGACCGUGGCCACCGGGAGAACGGAGGCGAGGACAUGACGGUCGCAGCAGCAAGCAGGAGCUGGGGCGGGGGGUCGUGCAGCGCGCCCCUCCCGUGGUCUCAGAUGGCCUCUGAGCCCCUCCCCCUCUCUGGGAAAGUAAGCUGGCGCCGGGCCCCCCGAGAAUACACCCCUGUUGGCCCGCGGCGGCGAGCUCGGUGGCCCAGGGAGGCGUGCACUCCCCGCGGGCUGCCCCAGCCCCGGUGUCCUCCACAAGGGAGGCGCAUGUGCGUGUCCACACCCCCCCACGCUGGGAACAGACCCAGUGCCCUUAGACAAGGGCAUGGACAAGCCAGCUGUCCGUUCACAUGGUGGACAGCCACCCAGUGGUGGAAGGAGCAAGUCCCCGAGACGCGCGCCGUGGAGGGAACCUCGACUGUCAGGCCUCUGAGCCGGAGGCGUGCUGCAGGAUCCCAACCCAAUCCAGUGUACGUGGCGUGUGCAGCGCGCACCUGCCGAGUGGGCUUCGAGUCUGCAAGCCAGACACGGGAGGCGAGUGGUGUGGAGGCGGCCCGGGUCAGGCGGGGGCAGCGGAGCCGAGAGCGACAGGGAGCUGUUCACGAGGAGACACAGUUUCUGGAUCUUUCCUCUUCUCCUCCACGUGGUGACUCUCGGGGGGCUCCCGCGCGAUGCCAGUCAGCUUCCGAGGCACAGAAACGCGCAUACGCGGUGGACGAGAUCGCAUCUCGCCUUCCAGGGGGAGACCCGUCUGGGAGAGACACGCGUCCAGCGCGCCAGGCUGCGCUCGGGUGGGGUCUCCCGGGGCGGGGGAGCCUCGCCGGGGCUGCCCUGCUCCUCGCUCCACCUUCUUGGCCCCAGUUCUCAGACCCGUGACGCCUCGCACCUGCCACCUGCCGCCGCCCUGCAGCCACUGCCUGGCAUCUUGGGUCCCCAGGGUGGGCCUGGGUGCUGUGCCCGGGUGCUGUGCCUGUGGCCCCGUGGGGAUGAGGGAGAUGGGAAGGGGAGACUGAGAGCCG